ACACAGAUGGACGAUUAGCUAUUCGCUGAUCAGGUUCUCUUUUCAGUUUCUUUCGUUUUGCGGAUUUUUGGGCCACAGGCCUGAUCUAGUAACCACGUGCAAAGUUCCUGUCAGUAUCUGUUGUUGCUGGUGGGCCUUCUGGUGGGGGUCCGGGGCAUUUCGCCAACUGGGGAGCUGUUGGCAAACGUCCCCCGUGGUGGUGGUGGUGGGUUUCUGAGUCCCCUUCCCUUAGGGUUCGCUUGCUGCUGUCUAGGUGACUUGUUUGCCCUGGUGGUCGGGCCCUCUCCCCGGGGAGAGGGGGUCCUGACUGCCCUGAACGUCUCAGGUGGCAGUAGCAAUGCACGGCCAGCUGGCCCGCUGACCCGCUGGCUCUACUCUUCACGAGUCUGGAGCCCACUGUAACAACUAUACACACGCACACACGCACACACGCACACACGCACACACGCACACACGCACACACGCACACACGCACACACGCACACACGCACACACGCACACACGCACACACGCACACACGCACACACGCACACACGCACACACGCACACACGCACACACGCACACACGCACACCCUACUAAACCGACCUUGUGCAUGGGCUUGAAAAAUGUGCGACGUAGGCUAAGUGCUUUAAUAUAAUACAUAGCUAUAUAGACAUCUUUCUGAUGAUUGUUAAGCAGCCGCAGCUCAAGCCGGAAAAAAAGCGUUAGCGAUCCAGCAGCAGGCAAAGGCAAGCUCAGGGGGGAACCUGCCGUGAGGUGCUAUUUAGGCAUUUUGAAGCAAGUGAUAAUUCAAAUCAAAUAAAUAUAUUUGAAUAAACAUGUCUUAGUGAUGCUGGAGUCUUCCUACUUGCAAAGAAAAUGCAACGCGCACUUAUUCGUGCAUUUUAUAUCGGUCUGCAGUCUCUCCCGCAACAGACGGCAGUAUCGACGGCUGUCUGGUGAAUGCGCACAAACAACAAAUUCAUU
RNAcentral lists this long non-coding RNA (968 nucleotides) under Volvox carteri. Its description in RNAcentral is "long non-coding RNA (VCAR_LNC003545)". The record is from RNAcentral. Lineage: Eukaryota; Viridiplantae; Chlorophyta; Chlorophyceae; Chlamydomonadales; Volvocaceae.